AGAUGCGUGCAAUUAAGGGCUUUGGCGGGAUUGGCUCCGCGUUUGGGCUGGUCCGCUGCUCCCCACCUACCAGGGUCGGAUCCGGGGCCCUUCCCCGCGGGGCGGGGACCUCCAAACAACCGACUCCUUUCCAGCUGAAGAAACACUUAAAUUCUGGAAAUAGCGACUCAGUAUCAUGGCCAGCAGCCUUAAUGAAGAUCCAGAAGGAAGCAGAAUCACUUAUGUGAAAGGAGACCUUUUUGCAUGCCCGAAAACAGACUCUUUAGCCCACUGUAUCAGUGAGGAUUGUCGCAUGGGCGCUGGGAUAGCUGUCCUCUUUAAGAAGAAAUUUGGAGGGGUGCAAGAACUUUUAAAUCAACAAAAGAAAUCUGGAGAAGUGGCUGUUCUGAAGAGAGAUGGGCGAUAUAUAUAUUACUUGGUAAGAUGGGGCCAAUUCCUUUUUUUUCCAGGGCCAAUUCUUAAUACAUUUUAAGGAUUUGUCAACAGAUGGGCUGCACUGCAUUUGUGUUGAUCAUGAUGUUCUAUUCUAGACAACUAAGAAUGUCAAAAAGCUUCCUAUCUUAUGACAACUCCAGUCCAGUGAUGGCGGCUACUUGGAGCACUGGGUUAGAAAGAAAUGUGAGGCUGCAUCCCAGCUCUGUGGGAAAGUCGUGUAUCAUUUACCAUAGGCCUGUUCUAAGACUUGCAAAAGUUAGGAAUGCCUGCCAUACUAUAUUUCCUAGGCAGAGUGAGAUAAAAACAAUAAUGUCUCAAGAGACAGAUUUUCCAAAGGAGCUUUUCUCUUAUUCCAUGUCAAAUCAAAUAGCACACUGAUAGCAAGGGGGUGAAUAAAAACAAAAAAUAAUAAGUGCAGUCCCAAAUAAUACUUAGCUCCUCUCCUAACUACUGCUUGAAUGUGGGGUUCUUCAACAGUCUAGGAUGGCAUUUGGUCCCUGAAAGGGUGUGGCUUCCUUAGUGGUGGUGGUGGGUAAAUUACAGCUAACCCACUACAAGCCUGAUCUGGAUGACAAACUGAGUGGGGAGAUGUCCUAGCCCCUUUGAAUUCUGUCCUUAAAGCUUAUGUGGCUUCCAGUGGUUUUACUUUGGGACCCUACCGGUUUUUUCUGUUGUUUUAUGUAGAGAGACAAAAAGCAAGCAAGCACAGUUUCUAAAUAAGUAGAGGCUUUUAGCAGGGAAUUUUCAGGUGGUAUGCUUUCUUCCCUGUUACAGAUAUGCAGCUUAUCUCUUGGAAGUGGCACAGAGACUUCACUUACCUUGCUUAAAAAUAUUGACAAUAGGUAUCACCUGCUAAUCUCAUGGGUUUCCUAGGAAAAGGAAAGAUUGCUACGUGGCAGAGUCUGGGUUUCUCAGCCUCUAUUUAGUGGAUUUUCUUGAAGGUCUCCCAUAACAGUGUGGAAAGGGCAAUAUGACAUUUGUCAUCCUUGCUCUAGACUAAUUCUAUAAAAAUGUGCGUACUCUUUU
RNAcentral lists this small RNA (1461 nucleotides) under Pan troglodytes (chimpanzee). RNAcentral describes it as "retained intron". Lineage: Eukaryota; Metazoa; Chordata; Mammalia; Primates; Hominidae. The record is from RNAcentral.